This 695-nucleotide ribosomal RNA is filed under the name Acidithiobacillus ferrooxidans. Its description in RNAcentral is "16S ribosomal RNA". It matches the Rfam family "Bacterial small subunit ribosomal RNA", at positions 202 to 893 of the family's 1533-position model. The record is from RNAcentral. Lineage: Bacteria; Pseudomonadati; Pseudomonadota; Acidithiobacillia; Acidithiobacillales; Acidithiobacillaceae.
AUCUUCGGACCWCGCGCUAGAGAGGAGCCUACGUCCGAUUAGCUAGUUGGCGGGGUAAAGGCCCACCAAGGCGACGAUCGGHAGCUNGUCUGAGAGGACGACCAGCCACACUGGGACUGAGACACGGCCCAGACUHCUACGGGAGNCAGCAGUGGGGAAUUUUUCGCWAUGGGGGCAACCCUGACGAAGCAAUGCCGCGUGGAUGAAGAAGGCCHHCGGGUUGUAAAGUCCUWUCGUNGAGGACGAAAAGGUGGGUUCUAAUACAAUCUGCUAUUGACGUGAAUCCAAGAAGAAGCACCGGCUAACUCCGUGCCAGCAGCCGCGGUAAUACGGGGNUGCAAGCGUUAAUCGGAAUCACUGGGCGUAAAGGGUGCGUAGGCGGUACGUUAGGUCUGUCGUGAAAUCCCCGGGCUCAACCUGGGNAUGGCGGUGGAAACCGGUGUACUAGAGUAUGKGAUAGGGUNUGGMAUUCCAGGUGUAGCGGUGAAAUGCGUAGAGAUCUGGAGGAACAUCAGUGGCGAAGGCGGCCACCUGGCCCAAUACUGACGCUGAGGCACGAAAGCGUGGGGAGCAAACAGGAUUAGAUACCCUGGUAGUCCACGCCCUMAACGAUGAAUACUAGAUGUUUGGUGCCCUGCGUACYGAGUGUCGUWSUAACGCGAUAAGUNUUCCGCCUGGGCNGUCGGCCNUCCNGG